AACGAACGCUGGCGGCACGUUUUAAGCAUGCAAGUCGAAUGGCAGCAGGGGCAACUCUGUGAGAAUGGCGAACGGGUGAGUAACACGUAGGUGAUCGGCCGUGAGGAGGGGGAUAGCCUGUGGAAACACAGGGUAAUACCGAAUGAACUGACGAGACUUUGGUUUUGUUAGUAAAGGUGCUACGGCACCGCCUUGAGAGGAGCCGGCGGCUGAUUAGCUAGUGGGUGGGGUAAGAGCUUACCAAGGCGAAGAUCAGUAGCCGGCCUGAGAGGGUGUACGGCCACACUGGAACUGAGACACGGUCCAGACUCCUACGGGAGGCAGCAGCUAAGAAUCUUCCGCAAUGGGCGAAAGCCUGACGGAGCGAUGCCGCGUGAUCGAUGAAGGUCGAGAGAUUGUAAAGAUCUUUUCUACAUGAGGAAUAAGUCUGGGAGGGAAUGCCCGGAUGAUGACGUUAGUGUAGGAAUAAGCCCCGGCUAAUUACGUGCCAGCCGCCGCGGUAA
Molecule: ribosomal RNA, 503 nt
Filed under: uncultured bacterium
Lineage: Bacteria
Description: partial 16S ribosomal RNA
Rfam family: Bacterial small subunit ribosomal RNA
Source: RNAcentral